GGAGAGAUGCUCGAGUGGCUGAAGAGGCACGCCUGGAAAGCGUGUAAACGUCAAAAGCGUUUCCCGGGUUCGAAUCCCGGUCUCUCCGCAA
RNAcentral lists this transfer RNA (91 nucleotides) under Prevotella koreensis. RNAcentral's name for it is "Prevotella sp. KCOM 3155 tRNA-Ser". It matches the Rfam family "tRNA". Rfam says of the family: Transfer RNA (tRNA) molecules are approximately 80 nucleotides in length. Their secondary structure includes four short double-helical elements and three loops (D, anti-codon, and T loops). Further hydrogen bonds mediate the characteristic L-shaped molecular structure. tRNAs have two regions of fundamental functional importance: the anti-codon, which is responsible for specific mRNA codon recognition, and the 3' end, to which the tRNAs corresponding amino acid is attached (by aminoacyl-tRNA synthetases). tRNAs cope with the degeneracy of the genetic code in two manners: having more than one tRNA (with a specific anti-codon) for a particular amino acid; and 'wobble' base-pairing, i.e. permitting non-standard base-pairing at the 3rd anti-codon position. The record is from RNAcentral. Lineage: Bacteria; Pseudomonadati; Bacteroidota; Bacteroidia; Bacteroidales; Prevotellaceae.